This 332-nucleotide ribosomal RNA is filed under the name Prorocentrum minimum. RNAcentral describes it as "partial Bacterial small subunit ribosomal RNA". It matches the Rfam family "Bacterial small subunit ribosomal RNA", at positions 1097 to 1429 of the family's 1533-position model. Lineage: Eukaryota; Dinophyceae; Prorocentrales; Prorocentraceae. The record is from RNAcentral.
CGCAACCCUUAUCCUUUGUUGCCAGCGGUUCGGCCGGGAACUCAAAGGAGACUGCCAGUGAUAAACUGGAGGAAGGUGGGGAUGACGUCAAGUCAUCAUGGCCCUUACGAGUAGGGCUACACACGUGCUACAAUGGCGCAUACAAAGAGAAGCGACCUCGCGAGAGCAAGCGGACCUCACAAAGUGCGUCGUAGUCCGGAUCGCAGUCUGCAACUCGACUGCGUGAAGUCGGAAUCGCUAGUAAUCGUGAAUCAGAAUGUCGCGGUGAAUACGUUCCCGGGCCUUGUACACACCGCCCGUCACACCAUGGGAGUGGGUUGUACCAGAAGUAG